RNAcentral lists this ribosomal RNA (678 nucleotides) under Salmonella enterica subsp. enterica serovar Enteritidis. RNAcentral describes it as "partial 23S ribosomal RNA". It matches the Rfam family "Bacterial large subunit ribosomal RNA", at positions 1 to 713 of the family's 2925-position model. Lineage: Bacteria; Pseudomonadati; Pseudomonadota; Gammaproteobacteria; Enterobacterales; Enterobacteriaceae. The record is from RNAcentral.
GGGUUGUGAGGUUAAGCGACUAAGCGUACACGGUGGAUGCCCUGGCAGUCAGAGGCGAUGAAGGGCGUGCUAAUCUGCGAUAAGCGCCGGUAAGGUGAUAUGAACCGUUAUAACCGGCGAUACCCGAAUGGGGAAACCCAGUGUGAUUCGUCACACUAUCAUUAACUGAAUCCAUAGGUUAAUGAGGCGAACCGGGGGAACUGAAACAUCUAAGUACCCCGAGGAAAAGAAAUCAACCGAGAUUCCCCCAGUAGCGGCGAGCGAACGGGGAGGAGCCCAGAGCCUGAAUCAGCAUGUGUGUUAGUGGAAGCGUCUGGAAAGGCGCGCGAUACAGGGUGACAGCCCCGUACACAAAAGCGCAUGUGCUGUGAGCUCGAUGAGUAGGGCGGGACACGUGGUAUCCUGUCUGAAUAUGGGGGGACCAUCCUCCAAGGCUAAAUACUCCUGACUGACCGAUAGUGAACCAGUACCGUGAGGGAAAGGCGAAAAGAACCCCGGCGAGGGGAGUGAAAAAGAACCUGAAACCGUGUACGUACAAGCAGUGGGAGCACCCUUUGGGUGUGACUGCGUACCUUUUGUAUAAUGGGUCAGCGACUUAUAUUCUGUAGCAAGGUUAACCGAAUAGGGGAGCCGGAGGGAAACCGAGUCUUAACCGGGCGUUAAGUUGCAGGGUAUAGA